GACGAACGCUGGCGGCGUGCCUAAUACAUGCAAGUAGAACGCUGAAGAGAGGAGCUUGCUCUUCUUGGAUGAGUUGCGCACGGGUGAGUAACGCGUAGGUAACCUGCCUUGUAGCGGGGGAUAACUAUUGGAAACGAUAGCUAAUACCGCAUAACAAUGUAUUACACAUGUCUUUUAUUUGAAAUGGGCUAUUGCUCCACUACAAGAUGGACCUGCGUUGUAUUAGCUAGUAGGUGAGGUAAUGGCUCACCUAGGCGACGAUACAUAGCCGACCUGAGAGGGUGAUCGGCCACACUGGGACUGAGACACGGCCCAGACUCCUACGGGAGGCAGCAGUAGGGAAUCUUCGGCAAUGGGGGCAAGCCUGACCGAGCAACGCCGCGUGAGUGAAGAAGGUUUUCGGAUCGUAAAGCUCUGUUGUAAGUGAAGAACGGGUGUGAGAGUGGAAAGUUCACACUGUGACGGUAGCUUACCAGAAAGGGACGGCUAACUACGUG
This 497-nucleotide ribosomal RNA is filed under the name uncultured bacterium. RNAcentral's name for it is "partial 16S ribosomal RNA". It matches the Rfam family "Bacterial small subunit ribosomal RNA", at positions 28 to 507 of the family's 1533-position model. The record is from RNAcentral.